GCCGGGGUGGCGGAACUGGCAGACGCACAGGACUUAAAAUCCUGCGGUGGUCAAACACCGUAUCGGUUCGAUUCCGAUUCUCGGCACCA
RNAcentral lists this transfer RNA (89 nucleotides) under Citrobacter freundii. RNAcentral's name for it is "tRNA-Leu". It matches the Rfam family "tRNA". From Rfam's summary of the family: Transfer RNA (tRNA) molecules are approximately 80 nucleotides in length. Their secondary structure includes four short double-helical elements and three loops (D, anti-codon, and T loops). RNAcentral also lists the same sequence under 16 other names. Lineage: Bacteria; Pseudomonadati; Pseudomonadota; Gammaproteobacteria; Enterobacterales; Enterobacteriaceae. The record is from RNAcentral.